Brachypodium distachyon (stiff brome) is the source of this 623-nucleotide long non-coding RNA. RefSeq lists it as uncharacterized. NCBI's taxonomy places the organism in Eukaryota, Viridiplantae, Streptophyta, Magnoliopsida, Poales, Poaceae. The record is from RefSeq and is a predicted model, not a curated record. The transcript is spliced from 3 exons.
UCCUGGGCCGGCCGGUAGGUUUUCUGCAAAUUCGUGGGCUUAGUUGGGCUACCAGAAGCAGGCGUGUUUUUGCAAAUUUACCGCAUAAGUGUUCGAGCCGCACGAAUUGGAUCGGGUGGUUGACGCUGAACGGAUGCAGGGAUAUACCAAUGUGGUCAGAUUCACCUGAUACGACGCCUUUAUACAGAGACAGCAUCCAUAUUUCUCAUCAAUUUCAGCCAAAGAAUUCGACGACGAAGUAUACGAAAAUGAGCUAGCCAUUCUACGGAAGCUCAAAAACAAGAGCGAAGGACUACAGACCAACGAUAUCGACGGACAAGCUGGCCGAUCGAGCUAGAUGUGUUCUAAAAAGAAUAAAUUCAUUCAAAUUCGCAGUUUUAUCAGGAGUUGAUUUCGUCGGCCUCAACGAACAAGACAAUGCAUGAUCGACAAUUCAGACUGCUAGUACUACACACUACUGGUGCCAUGGCGGCCGUUAAUGUCAUUCCUCUUCCUUCAGCGUCGAGAUCGGUGGAUCAAUUUCCACUUGGUUUUACUCAAUGUUCCAGUUGUUUCCAGAACCGAUUCAGUUGCAUUCUGUAUUUGCUUCCUUCCGUUGGAAGAUCGAACCAUUUAUGCAUGAA